RNAcentral lists this long non-coding RNA (199 nucleotides) under Elaeis guineensis (African oil palm). RNAcentral describes it as "long non-coding RNA (EGUI_LNC072103)". Lineage: Eukaryota; Viridiplantae; Streptophyta; Magnoliopsida; Arecales; Arecaceae. The record is from RNAcentral.
AUUAUAGUUUUUUCCAUCAAAAAUAGGAAUAGAAGGUUGAUUAAUGCUUAUAUCCAUAUUGCUUGAACUUGCCAUGAAGAUCUUCUUGAAUGGUGCUCUCUUUCCCACUUGUUGUCUUCAAACUCAAACCUUAUUGAUCUUUUUUACUCUGAUACCACUUUUGUUGGCAUUGUUUACCAACUUGAUAAAAUUUGGGAGG